This is a long non-coding RNA of Belonocnema kinseyi, 1753 nucleotides long. RefSeq lists it as uncharacterized. The record is from RefSeq and is a predicted model, not a curated record. NCBI's taxonomy places the organism in Eukaryota, Metazoa, Arthropoda, Insecta, Hymenoptera, Cynipidae. The transcript is spliced from 9 exons.
ACUGCUCUAUGGAAGCUGGCAGAUGACCUAUUGUCAGAGUCGUAUUCAUAGUCCGAGCAUAAGUGGCUAAGUCAACAUUUUUGUUGACUUGAGAUCGUCUUAAAUAAAAUUUUAUUUUAAAAAGGCGUACCUUUUUGUUUUAAGGGAUUACUUUGUAUAGAAUUUUCAAAGUUUCAGAGCAUCGUGAAAAUUGUAAUCUUACGGAAGAAUGUCUUAAAGUGUAUCUCUGAUUACAUCAUGACUUAAAACCGAUAAGGCGGUCUUCAUGUAGGACUGUGAAUACGACCCUCAGUGUCGUCUGUCUGUUGUUUACCAGCUCACACAUUUCGGGAUCUUACGUUUCUGUGGCAAUGGUGCUCAUUACUGUCGAUCAAUUCUCCAGGAGGUUAGCCGCCGAUUUCUCGUCCUCCUGGUUGGCUAAAUCGCUGGCUCGGAGCCUAACCUUAGUUUUACUCAACUAGAACCUACGUGAGUGUCUCCGAGAAUCAGAAAUUGAAUGACCCUCCCGCGGUUUUCGACUAAAUUGUUUCUAAGGGAGGUUUGAACGAUACUACUUGCUUGGAAUUACGAAAGCUUGGAUUCGGAUAUUUUUCUAUCUGAAGUAGUUUGCGAUUCAUCUUCGGAAAACCAUGAUGCAUGCUGACGGUCCAAUUAUUAUGAAAUAUAUAAUUAAUAUUAAAUUUAUAUGUUACUUUAUGAAGCUCCAAAGGAGCAGAGAAAUGAGGAAACAAUUUUUGAUAUCACAAAUAAGAAUCAGGUAGCACGCAAUAAACAGAGAAAGACAUUAACUGUGAUUCUAAAAACCUUUUGAGAGAACGAUAGUGAUGGCAAAUUGCCCAUAAAUUCUCUUUCUAUGAGAAAUAGCCAGUACAUAUCAUUCUCCAUACUAAAAUGAAAAUGGAAACUAUGUUCCACCAGCUAGAAGUCUGUACUUCCAUCGCAACUACGUAAAGGAAUAUUUAGGAAGCUAUAAUCUUCUGGAGAUUCCUAAAGGAAAUAAGAAAGUAGCUAGCAACGAUAUCCUAGUCAAUGUAGGUGGCAUGCAAUCAAAGACGUGCUUGUGAAAAAACUACAAGAAUUGAGUAGGAUCAAGGGCAAACUUAAAGAUCUUCGAAAUCAAGCGUGGAUUCAUUUGCUACUUGCAUUGGAAGCAGAUUCGAAAUGGAAUCUGAUGGCCGGAACAAUCCUCGACAAGAAUAAUAUCUAUGCCGCUUUGGCAGGGUGACGUUCCCAGAGUUUUAAUCGUUCGUGCCGUUAUGGCAGAGCACAUGGUGUUCAGGACCUGGAACAUCGGAUUUAAAAUUUGUUUAAAUAUUUUAAUUGAGGGCUUGCAGAAAUGCAAAAUGAAUUCUUAACCUUUUUGAACGGAAUACUGUCCAUCGGCAAGAAAUUGAGGAAUGCAGUGCCAGGUGAAGUGAAAAAAACGCGCCUGAGAGUUUCGAAAGAAUUUUGUUGUCAGUAGACUCGUUAUUUCCACUGGAAGCUUGAAGGGGAAAAAUCGGCUAAAGCAAGCUAUUAAGUCAACUUGCGAGACAUUCUGCAGUUGCGCAUCAAAUCGAGACAUACGUCGCUGAAUUCGUAGGAACGGCGGACUAACGCUUAAAUGGUGCACAUCUGGACAUCAAGGGACAAGUAUCAUUUGGAGCCUGAAUUUUAGCUCAUGCCGAGUUGUGGAGUCUCAACUACGCUGUCAGCCACCUGAACACCUGUCAAAGCAACGAUUCUUUUUGCGAUAUUAGACUAAAUAAUUAUU